RNAcentral lists this ribosomal RNA (450 nucleotides) under uncultured bacterium. RNAcentral's name for it is "partial 16S ribosomal RNA". It matches the Rfam family "Bacterial small subunit ribosomal RNA", at positions 354 to 796 of the family's 1533-position model. The record is from RNAcentral.
GUGGGGAAUUUUGGACAAUGGGCGAAACCCUGAUCCAGCCAUGCCGCGUGUGUGAAGAAGGCCUUCGGGUUGUAAAGCACUUUAAGCAGGGAGGAAAGGGUAAUGGCUAAUAUCCAUUAUCAUUGACGUUACCUGCAGAAUAAGCACCGGCUAACUUCGUGCCAGCAGCCGCGGUAAUACGAAGGGUGCAAGCGUUAAUCGGAAUUACUGGGCGUAAAGCGCGCGUAGGUGGUUUUGUAAGUUGGAGGUGAAAUCCCCGGGCUCAACCUGGGAACUGCCUCCAAAACUGCAUGACUAGAGUACGGUAGAGGGUAGUGGAAUUUCCUGUGUAGCGGUGAAAUGCGUAGAUAUAGGAAGGAACACCAGUGGCGAAGGCGACUACCUGGACUGAUACUGACACUGAGGUGCGAAAGCGUGGGGAGCAAACAGGAUUAGAUACCCUAGUAGUCC